ACAUAAAUAGUAUAUUAAAUACGUUAGAUUUAGAUUCUAAAGAUACAGGUUAUGUU
RNAcentral lists this transfer RNA (56 nucleotides) under Chabertia ovina (large-mouth bowel worm). RNAcentral describes it as "tRNA-Leu". Lineage: Eukaryota; Metazoa; Nematoda; Chromadorea; Rhabditida; Strongylidae. The record is from RNAcentral.